GCGCACUUAGCUCAGUAGUUAGAGCAUCACUCUUGAAAGUUGAGGUCACAUGUUCAAUUCAUGCGGUGCACA
This 72-nucleotide transfer RNA is filed under the name Phakopsora pachyrhizi. Its description in RNAcentral is "tRNA-Ser". It matches the Rfam family "tRNA". From Rfam's summary of the family: Transfer RNA (tRNA) molecules are approximately 80 nucleotides in length. The record is from RNAcentral. Lineage: Eukaryota; Fungi; Basidiomycota; Pucciniomycetes; Pucciniales; Phakopsoraceae.